CCAAAAAAAUAAAACUAACUCGGAAAACCAUCGGUGCUCGGGCGAAAUCUUCCUACAUUCCCUCACAUGCAGGCUCAUCUGACACCAACACUGUUUUUCCCUCAUCACAUGAUAUUUGUACUGAAAACUCAAAGGAAGAAGGGACCGCGUAUACCAGGGCAAAAAGGAAGGAGCUGAGCCUAUGGGAUACACUAAAAGAUCAGGUCUUGGAAGAGUCCUAUAAGUCCUCCGCUCCUUUCUCUGACAUGUACUCUGUGUGCAAGAAACCUGGAGUAUACCGCUGUCUGGAAUGCAGCAGAAGCAGUGUUUUUUGCAAGGAUUGUGUCUACACAGUACACAUAAAUUCUUUGCACCUCCCUGAAAAGUGGAAUAAAACCUGCUAUGAGGCUGCUUUCCAGCAGUUGGUGUUGCAUUUAAGUGGGGAUCACAGUACCCAUGUUGUUUACUCCAGAGAUGUAAAGACUUUUGUCAACACAGGUCAUCUCAUUAAUUGCACAGUUUCUUUUUGUAAAUGCGAACCUGAGGUCUGCACUCUUCUGAAGUAUGGCCUUUGGCCUGCUUCACCGGAGAAGCCACAGGCUGCUUUUUCAAUGGCUCUUCUUGAGCUAUUUGUCCAUCUUUCUUUGGAGUGCCAGGUCUCUGUAGAGGGAUUCAUCAACACCUUACGGUGGAAAAACAAUCUUACUGUUAUGGAGGUUAAUAUGCUGUACAGAGCCCUAGUAGGAGAGUCUAUUUCCCAGUUUCGCCAUUAUCACUUCCGACAAAGGUCACUAGUUGGCCUUUGUGACCAAUUUGAUGAUGGCACAGUGUGCCCGGCAUGCAUAAAGACUGAUGGCACUGUAAUUGUGGCUUUGGAUGCCAACUUUGGCCUCGUACGACAAAAGAGCUCUGGAAGUAGUAUCACUGAGCCAUUGCAGGGUAACAGAAUGUUUGUCAGGUAUGAAGAUGUUGAAGAGUAUGUCAGGUCAAAUCCUGACAACUGUCAACCAACAGAGAACUGUAGCAAGUUUAAAGCUGGCAAUGCACUUCGUUCCCAAAACCAGCAAAAAAAAUUAGACAUAACUGGUGUAUUUGGAGCAUCAUGUCGCCACGAGGUUCCACUGAUAUUUCUUAACAUGACACAUGGAGAAAGACUUGCAUAUCCUAAAUAUGUCAUCACAGAGCUGAUGAAAAAAUAUAAAGAAAAAAAACAUUAAUCUGCAUGUCAUUUAUGACAUUGCAUGUGUCCUGUCCAGACAUUUCCGUAAAACUGGAGAAGGAAUCCCAAAAGGACUUUCCCUGGCGGUACCAGCAUUUCAUGUGUAUGGGCAUAAACUGCAGUGUCAGAUCAUGUACAGCACGCGACGAGUUCCUGGAUUUGGACUAACAGAUGGUGAAUGCAUGGAGAGGUUAUGGUCGUUUUUGAGAAUAUUUUCUCGAGUGACUAAAGAGACGACUCCCUCCCAUCGCCUUGACCUUCUCAUAGACGCACUCCUGUACUAUGGUAGAAGAAAAUCUGCAGAUCUAGAUGUGCAGCUUCUUCAGAGGUGGGACAAAGCCGAGAAGAUUGCGAGUAUUGCUGAGGAAGAGAUUUCUGCAGUUUUGAAAGAGUCACCGAUAAGCAUUUCUGAACAUGACCUACAACAAUGGAUGGAAACACAGAGACAUGUAGCCCAAGCUGCACAUUUAAAAACUAGAGACAAAGAGAUUGUUCCAAGAUGGAAGAGGAACUAUGUGAUGAAGCUGACCGAAAUCAACCAGCUCAGAUCCGGAUCACAUAAACAGGAGUCACUCAUUGAAGAUG
Xiphophorus hellerii (green swordtail) is the source of this 1783-nucleotide RNA transcript. RefSeq lists it as uncharacterized. NCBI's taxonomy places the organism in Eukaryota, Metazoa, Chordata, Actinopteri, Cyprinodontiformes, Poeciliidae. The transcript has 13 exons. The record is from RefSeq and is a predicted model, not a curated record.